RNAcentral lists this ribosomal RNA (383 nucleotides) under uncultured eukaryote. RNAcentral describes it as "partial 18S ribosomal RNA". It matches the Rfam family "Eukaryotic small subunit ribosomal RNA", at positions 592 to 976 of the family's 1831-position model. The record is from RNAcentral.
CAAUAGCGUAUAUUAAAGUUGUUGCAGUUAAAAAGCUCGUAGUUGGAUUUCUGGUAGGAGUGACCGUUCCGAACUUGAUUGUUCGUGUAUUGUGUUUUCUCCAGCCAUCCUUGUGGAGAACUUUUCUUGCAUUAAUUUGUAGGGAUUGGGACCCGCAUCGUUUACUGUGAAAAAAUUAGAGUGUUUAAAGCAGGCAAUCGCUUGAAUACAUUAGCAUGGAAUAAUAAGAUAGGACUUUGGUACUAUUUUGUUGGUUUGCAUACCAAAUUAAUGAUCAACAGGAACAGUUUGAGGAUAUUCGUAUGAACAUGUCGGAGGUGAAAUUCUUGGAUUUUGAUCAGACGAACUACUGCGAAAGCAUUUAUCAAGGAUGUUUUCAUUAA